RNAcentral lists this ribosomal RNA (468 nucleotides) under uncultured bacterium. RNAcentral's name for it is "partial 16S ribosomal RNA". It matches the Rfam family "Bacterial small subunit ribosomal RNA", at positions 28 to 507 of the family's 1533-position model. The record is from RNAcentral.
GACGAACGCUGGCGGCGUGCUUAACACAUGCAAGUCGAACGGAAAGGCCCUGCUUUUGUGGGGUGCUCGAGUGGCGAACGGGUGAGUAACACGUGAGUAACCUGCCCUUGACUUUGGGAUAACUUCAGGAAACUGGGGCUAAUACCGGAUAGGAGCUCCUGCUGCAUGGUGGGGGUUGGAAAGUUUCGGCGGUUGGGGAUUGACUCGCGGCUUAUCAGCUUGUUGGUGGGGUAGUGGCUUACCAAGGCUUUGACGGGUAGCCGGCCUGAGAGGGUGACCGGCCACGUUGGGACUGAGAUACGGCCCAGACUCCUACGGGAGGCAGCAGUGGGGAAUAUUGCACCAUGGGCGGAAGCCUGAUGCAGCAACGCCGCGUGCGGGAUGACGGCCUUCGGGUUGUAAACCGCUUUCGCCUGUGACGAAGCGUGAGUGACGGUAAUGGGUAAAGAAGCACCGGCUAACUACGUG